GUGGGAUAUGCUUUCUGAAUGAUGUCGACUGAUGGGUGCGCCUUUGCAGAGCGGGUGUUGGCUCAGAAGAGCAGUCUAC
Molecule: microRNA precursor, 79 nt
Organism: Bos taurus (domestic cattle)
Lineage: Eukaryota; Metazoa; Chordata; Mammalia; Artiodactyla; Bovidae
Source: Ensembl